This 82-nucleotide transfer RNA is filed under the name Dyadobacter sp. LHD-138. RNAcentral's name for it is "tRNA-Tyr". It matches the Rfam family "tRNA". From Rfam's summary of the family: Transfer RNA (tRNA) molecules are approximately 80 nucleotides in length. Their secondary structure includes four short double-helical elements and three loops (D, anti-codon, and T loops). Lineage: Bacteria; Pseudomonadati; Bacteroidota; Cytophagia; Cytophagales; Spirosomataceae. The record is from RNAcentral.
GGGAGCGCGGCGCAGUUGGAGAGGCGCGGCAGACUGUAAAUCUGCUACUUCGGUUGAAUAGGCUCGAAUCCUAUCGAUCCCA